AGAGUUUGAUUCUGGCUCAGAUUGAACGCUGGCGGCAGGCCUAACACAUGCAAGUCGAGCGGUAGAGAGAAGCUUGCUCCUCUAGAGAGCGGCGGACGGGUGAGUAAUGCCUAGGAAUCUGCCUGGUAGUGGGGGAUAACGUUCGGAAACGGACGCUAAUACCGCAUACGUCCUACGGGAGAAAGCAGGGGACCUUCGGGCCUUGCGCUAUCAGAUGAGCCUAGGUCGGAUUAGCUAGUUGGUGAGGUAAUGGCUCACCAAGGCGACGAUCCGUAACUGGUCUGAGAGGAUGAUCAGUCACACUGGAACUGAGACACGGUCCAGACUCCUACGGGAGGCAGCAGUGGGGAAUAUUGGACAAUGGGCGAAAGCCUGAUCCAGCCAUGCCGCGUGUGUGAAGAAGGUCUUCGGAUUGUAAAGCACUUUAAGUUGGGAGGAAGGGCAGUUACCUAAUACGUGAUUGUUUUGACGUUACCGACAGAAUAAGCACCGGCUAACUGGUGUGCCAGCAGCCGCGGUAAU
This 522-nucleotide ribosomal RNA is filed under the name uncultured Gammaproteobacteria bacterium. RNAcentral describes it as "bacterial SSU rRNA". It matches the Rfam family "Bacterial small subunit ribosomal RNA", at positions 8 to 524 of the family's 1533-position model. The record is from RNAcentral. Lineage: Bacteria; Pseudomonadati; Pseudomonadota; Gammaproteobacteria.